RNAcentral lists this ribosomal RNA (480 nucleotides) under uncultured bacterium. RNAcentral describes it as "partial 16S ribosomal RNA". It matches the Rfam family "Bacterial small subunit ribosomal RNA", at positions 28 to 523 of the family's 1533-position model. The record is from RNAcentral.
GACGAACGCUGGCGGCGUGCCUAACACAUGCAAGUCGAGCGAGUGAAUCUCCUUCGGGAGUGAAGCUAGCGGCGGACGGGUGAGUAACACGUGGGCAACCUGCCUCAUAGAGGGGAAUAGCCUUUCGAAAGGAAGAUUAAUACCGCAUAAGGUUGUAGCUUCGCAUGAAGUAGCAAUUAAAGGAGCAAUCCGCUAUGAGAUGGGCCCGCGGCGCAUUAGCUAGUUGGUGAGGUAACGGCUCACCAAGGCGACGAUGCGUAGCCGACCUGAGAGGGUGAUCGGCCACAUUGGGACUGAGACACGGCCCAGACUCCUACGGGAGGCAGCAGUGGGGAAUAUUGCACAAUGGGGGAAACCCUGAUGCAGCAACGCCGCGUGAGUGAUGACGGCCUUCGGGUUGUAAAGCUCUGUCUUCAGGGACGAUAAUGACGGUACCUGAGGAGGAAGCCACGGCUAACUACGUGCCAGCAGCCGCCGUAA